This 2162-nucleotide long non-coding RNA is filed under the name Triticum aestivum (bread wheat). RNAcentral describes it as "long non-coding RNA (TAES_LNC003757)". The record is from RNAcentral. Lineage: Eukaryota; Viridiplantae; Streptophyta; Magnoliopsida; Poales; Poaceae.
UGCCUAAAAGGUGAACGAGGACAACAUUUCAUCCGUCACUCCGAUUGAGGUGAUUCAAACAAUCACCUUCUCUGUUUGUUGACCUCUUUUUGAUGGGACUAUUUUCUUUAUGUUUGCACAUUCUCAAAAUGCCCAUUUUGCCCUUGCUCUAAUUCAGCCCCUCUGAGAGAGAACCGUUCUCUGGAAAAAUUUCCGCGAGUUGAUUGCACUCAUUUCCGGAGUAUUCCUCGACCCCAGGCAAGCCAACCUCUUAUCAUAAGCCCCGUCCUUGCGGUUGCUUGCACCUUGUGUGUGUGCUUAGUUGUAGUAGUUUCUUGCUUGUUUCGUCUUCUGUUAUUUCAGUCUUGCUUUUAUAAUUAUGUUGUGUGCCUUGCAUGUUUGUGCUUUCAUGCUAUCUUUGGACAUGCUAGUUGGAUAUUGCUAUUCAUAAUAUCAUGCCUCUGUUUUGAUUGAUGUCAGUAGACUUGAUGCCAUGAUGAUUCUGUUACCUUGUCAAUAUGCUAGUACCUGGAAUUGUCAUGUUUCAUAUGCUAUAGUUGUUCACUUGAGAAGCUUGGUAUUUGUUAAUGCAUUUGUAUGUUGCAUGCUUGUUGUUGCAUUCAUGAUAAAUAUGCUCAUAGUGUUGAUGAUGAUGGAGAAUUUAAUAAUAUAACUUAAUAGUAAACCUCCUCCGUCCUUGAUGGGAUCGAGUCAUAGUGCCACCAAAUCGAACUUUCUCCCAUGUAGCCACAUUUGCCUUUAUGGGAGGGCCCUAGAUGGGUCUAUUAUCAUGCUUCUCACCGGUGCCUCCAAUGAGGGAAGGUUAUGGGCGCACGCUACCCUGAUCAGGUAGGCGGACAUAAGCCUUGUGUGCCCGUAGUUGGAUGAUAAGCGCUUUUGUCCCCGUUUGGGACCGUUUUUGUUUUGCACAUGACGGUGGCUGUUUUGCCAUGACGGUGGCCGUUGUGCCUUUGGUAGGCACGGGGCCACCCUGGACUGAACCCCAAGGGGUGUUGGUCGGAGUGGUCGGGAGAGUGUCAUGGCAGUUCGUCGGUUUUGUCGGUCCACCAGAAUUGGAGUACAAGGCCAUGGGUUCCGUGGUGUGGGUACAGUGUGCUACCUCUGCACAUUGUGUGUUAAAACUAUUGAUAGCCGUGUCAUCGAUCAUAGGCACAAGUCCGUAGUAGGUCACACUAUCGGGUCUUGGUCGAAAUGGAGGAUAAACCUGAAAUAACUAAGUUGAUGAAUAAUGUGUAAUGAAUAAUGUGGUGACUUGGACUAUGAGAUAGUCGUGAGAAGUCACGGUGAUGUUUUGACAUGAUCACGAGAGGAGGUCUCGGUGGGUGUUGAACCAAGUGUUGUUUUAUAUGUGAUGUGUGAAUGAUCACCAUUUAGUUACGAGGUAAGCCGUUGGUAAGAGAGUCCGAAGGACUCGGUGCACAAGUGUUGGUUGCAGUGCAUGAGUAACAUGUUGUUAUUUGCAUUUAAAGAGUCGUGUCAGAAUAAAAGAUUGUUGCAUAAAGUUAACACAUUAUGUUUGCAUGUGAAGUAACUGGUAGGUUAUUUUCAGCAUAGUUUCAUGAUGCCAUGCCAUGCUUUGAUUGAAAUGCUAGAUUAUGCCAUGCUUUGAAAUAUCAUGUUAUGAUCAAGAUGCUAUGCUAUGUUUUGCCAUUGUCAUGUUUCGAUUGAAUUGCUAGAUGAUGCCAUGUUAUGAAUUGCCAUGUUUUGCUGCUACAAAGUUAGAAGCAUGUUUUGAUAUGUCAUGUUAUUGCCAUGCUAGUAGUUGUUGAUACUUUGUUUGAUUUAUGUCGCCAGCUAAUAUUAUGCCAUGCUUAUAAAUUGUGAUGAGUUAAAUUAUAGCAUGCGCUUGGUUCUUGUUUGUCAUAUGUUUGUUUGGAUGCUAUAUAUUUGUUGGUCUUGCAAGUACAGUCAAUGUACUGAACGAGCGUGUCAUGCCAGUUUUGUAGGUAAUGUCUGAAUUGUUUGCUUGUUCCGUCAUGCUAGGCCGUAAUCUUGCCGGUCCUGUGAGUUGUGGUGGCCAGCCAGAGUCGACAUGCUGUCAAACCAAGACUUCCGCCGCCAUUUAAAUAGCCUUAGAGCUAUGCCAGAUGAUUCUUGUAUACAUGUAUUUGAUGAAUAUUAUCAUACUUGGAAUGCUGUAUCAUUGAACAGUCGUGCGUCAG